Long non-coding RNA from Gadus chalcogrammus (walleye pollock), 4097 nucleotides. RefSeq lists it as uncharacterized. NCBI's taxonomy places the organism in Eukaryota, Metazoa, Chordata, Actinopteri, Gadiformes, Gadidae. The record is from RefSeq and is a predicted model, not a curated record. The transcript has 7 exons.
AUGGAAUUUUAUUUGGCAUGAGGUUUUUACCCUGCAUGAUUGUUUGGCCUUUUAUGGCUCUGUGGUGUGUUGUGUUUGGGUUUGACGUGUGUGUGUGUGUGUGUGUGUGUGUGUGUGUGUGUGUGUGUGUGUGUGUGUGUGUGUGUGUGUGUGUGUGUGUGUGUGUGUGUGUGUGUGUGUGUGUGUGUGUGUGUGUGUGUGGGGCUUGCUUUGACAGUGAUAAUGUUCAUAUGGGGGUCUGUGUGAUUGGGUUGGGAUAUUGGAAUGGUCAACUAAAUCAUACCUGAUGGACGGCCACAUGUUUACUUAAGGGCCUCCAGUAGACAUGAAGAGCCCUGAGCGACGCUCCGGAGCGAUAUCCAACACACUGGGCAGGAAGGAGAGUAUCCAACUCGCAUGUAAAAGGAUGCAAGUGACGUGUUCAGAUCAGUGACUUCAAACUAGGACUACAACAAUCAGGAUCAAUGGAGGAUGGACACCAAAAGGAAUUCCACAAGGAGAGUCUGACGUUGGAAAGGGACCUAAAUGGAUAUUCAAGAUGACCUUCAGACCUGUAAUGAGACGGCUCUUCCUACCUGGCUGGAUUGAUGGAGAGCCCUGUGGAUCUUGUCUUGCUCUCAGUUGCACGUCUUCUCAGGCUGAACUGUAUUUGUUUCGGACAGGACUAGCUGAACGAUUGGUUCCCUUGAAUCAGAACCAAUCCGGGAACUCCAGCUAGUGCGCUCUUCGAGCUGAAGUUGUGCUCUUCAGCUGAGGAGGUAAGGAAACCUUCACUGGGGCUUCAAGGUGUAAAGAGGAGAAUGUUUCAUGUGUUCCAUGGUACUCUGAUGAAGACCGUUGUUGUGUUCCACUGGCUGAGAGGAAGAACCCACACAUCUUCCUCUUGGCCUUUCUCCUCUGAGAAUCCUGGCGCCAUCUUGAAGGAUAUUCCAGCUCAUGUAACUGAUGUCACGACAGAUUCUCAAACACUUGGUUUCUCCUGAGGGGCGUGUCUAUGGAACUGAAGACUUCAGACAGCACUGUAUCCCAGCAUACAUCUCUGCUCACUCAGACCACACCCCCAUGAGUAGGAUGCAACACUCUAGUGAUGGAGAUGUAGAGUUUUAUAAGUAACGAGGGAGCAGACUAAGGUGAUUAGACUGUAAAUCUUUAAACCAUGAAGAUGGUUCGAUAGUUCAGGAAUUGGGCUUCUUUUUACUAUGGGCAGUCCUUUCACUCAGAUGCCCACUUCUCACUGGAGCUGUACAUGUGUUGGCUGGCUGGCAUGGUUUGCUGUUGGUGAUGAGGCGGUCAGGGUGACGUUGCAGGGCUAUGGUCGGCUCUCUGUGAGCUCAACGUUUAGAUUUGCUCUGUAUGGUUUGUACCCUGAAUAAUCUAGAUAAUUGUAAAAUGUAGACAGUUUUGUAUUGAAUGAUUUUAGGUUUAAAGUUGUUGUGGGACGUACAUGGUAGUUUGGUUCUUCGUAUGGUUUUGAGUGAUAUAACUUGUACACACUGGGUGCAUAAUAAUGUAAAGGUACAUUUAAUAGUAUUAAUGACCAACAGCAACAAACAGAUCUCCUCAAGGUAAGUCUGUUGGCUGUGUUUUAAUGAAGACCAUCGCUGGACUUCAGGAUCUUCCUCCGUUCAGCUCAAGGUGAGGCGCUGGUUCUGUUUUUCUUUGGUUGGUUCCGGCCGGAAUGUUCGGAUUCCAGUCAGACGGUUUGUGCUUCCCGCCGUGGAAGGUUCUGAGUGCGGUCACUUCAUUUAGUCUGAAUGGUUAGCAUAGAACGUUGUAGUCUGGACAACCAUAAGAAACCACCUGGCAGUUAGUUGGACGGGACUCCCCUGAGGGAAUAUGGAGGAACGUUCUGGAUUGUAUUUGAGUAACCUCGAGCCGUUGCCAACGGAAACAAUUUUUCAGUCGGUUUCCAUUGGGAACUUAAGUUUGAUAUUAAAUACUUACUGACAAGUACGUCGUACAAUAUGUUGAUAAUUUCCGAUCGUUGCGCCGUACUUUUACCCACGAUGACGUGACGGGACUCUCACUGCGUACAAUACAGCGUUCUAAUUGCGGGCCCAUUUGACAUCACGGAAGGCUGAAAAUCAUUUCAAGGUGGAAGAUAAUUUGACGUUUCUUCAACGGAACCCAGCACCUGAAUAUGGCUGAGUAUAUUUGAUUUAAUAUCGAUACUGCUUAGUGUUCUUUGUUACUUCAGCUUUUGUACGUUCUAAAUAUCUGCCGUCAUUAAUUCCCACAGAAGUUAAACCCUAGCCAAUGGAAUGACGUUGAACAACGACUUUGGUGCAGAGUUACCAACUGGAUAAUAUCAAAGCUAAAAUAAUGGCCGUCAUUCCCACAUGUUACAGUAGAAGAUACUCUGUACAAGGUUAAAAAGGUAACAUGUAGUUUGUCCCAAGGUGUUUGCCUCCUCACCCAGAGCAAGACCUCCACCUCCUCACCCAGAGCCAGACCUCCACCUCCUCACCCAGAGCCAGACCUCCACCUCCUCACCCAGAGCCAGACCUCCACCUCCUAUCAGAAGUCUUCCAGAACAGCUUAAAGGCGAGUCUGAGAGGCUGGGGACCAGAGGCUUGUGGUGCCAGGGUGGACCGGAGACUAAGGCUGGAGACCAGGGGCCUGCAGCAUUGGACCAGAGGAUCAGGAAUCCAUGGCUGGAGGAGCUGUGCUGAAGGCCCUGCCUUGUGGAGGAGCUGGUGGAGGCCCUGCCUGGUGAAGGACGUCUGUCGUGGGACCAGGACUCUGUCUGAGGAGAGCUGCUGGAGGAGCUGAGACGCUGGAGGACGACUUUGAAUCGACCAACAAGGAUUCCUCAACGUGUUUCUGGCUGAGGAGAGCUGAUUGAGGAGCCAAGACUCUGGAGGACGACAUCACUCCACCAACCAGGAUCCUCAGACAAAUUACGUUUGCAACCAGACCAGGAAUCUGGAGAACUGAUGGAGAAGCCAUACAUCUGGAAGGCAAAUCCUGAGGACCACCAGGACUCUACCAUCAAGGAUUCCUCAUAAAUGUGCAUUAUCUGGACAUAGUGGACUAGACACACCUGAACUGAACUGAACCUGAUCCUGUUUGGUCGGGGGUAGACACACCUGAGCUAAACCCGCCCUGAUCCUGACAUCCUGCUGGUCCCGUCUCCUCAGUUCAUCUGAGCCUCGUCCUCCAGAAGACCUGCUGAGCUCAGCAGUCUGAGGCUGAUGGAUCAAUGACCUCCAGUGGGAGUGAUCUUCUUGACCCCACAUGUAACCGUGUGCUUCCACACGCCUUUCCCUCACGUCUGUCACUAACCUCACUACUACUCUCUUACUGCUUCCUCUUUUCUUCCUUCUCUGUGGUUCAAACCUUUACACUGAAGGCGCGUCUUCCUGCCCUCAGAGGGUUUAGCGUUAGGGUUGAGAGUCAGGGUUUAGAGGCAGGGACAGAGCUGGUCAGGGAGGACUGCUUUUACACCAACCUCUUCACUUGCUUUCGGAAUGGUGGUGACAUUUUGAAAAGAUUCAUUUGGGAAAAUGUUUUCCUCUGCUUUCCUUUACAAAAUUGUAUUAAACUUCUGUCAAGUGUUUUUGUUCAUAUAUUAAAAUCCCACAUUGACUUCUACAUGUUUGAUGCGGUCAUUUAAUUGUCCUUUUAACUUGGUUAAUGUCAAGCUAAACUCCUGCAAUACAUUUAAUAUACAUGAUUGUUAUUCAGCAUUGUUCACAUAAUCCAUUUCGUAAAAAUAUGAAACCUCCAUAUUGCUACUAAAUUCAAGCCUAUUCAUGUAUUUAACAAUGUAUAUACUGCCCCGCAGGCCAUUCUCUGCUACUACAACACGUUCAAUCCACAAACCCGUCUCACAUCAAUGUACUAUAGCUACGUUGGUUCAAACGGAAAAAGUAGUUUGGUGUGAGACUGAUGUCCAGCAGAGGGAUCUGUCAUACACCCUAAUUAUACACGUCUGUGUAUUUACAUUUAAAAAUGUUCAUGGGGUGUUUCCCAAUGUCAAGGAAGCAUGCUCAACGGCCGCCCUUUUAAGUACACUACGUCAUAGAACGCCGACAAGCACUGUUCCAAUGUUGAGGACACUCGAAAGCCGCGUCAUUUUCGCGUCCUUUGUUUUU